UCCUCGUUAGUAUAGUGGACAGUAUCUCCGCCUGUCACGCGGAAGACCAGGGUUCGAUUCCCCGAAGGGGAG
This 72-nucleotide transfer RNA is filed under the name Ameiurus melas (black bullhead). It matches the Rfam family "tRNA". Rfam says of the family: Transfer RNA (tRNA) molecules are approximately 80 nucleotides in length. Their secondary structure includes four short double-helical elements and three loops (D, anti-codon, and T loops). The record is from Rfam by way of RNAcentral. Lineage: Eukaryota; Metazoa; Chordata; Actinopteri; Siluriformes; Ictaluridae.